Molecule: RNA transcript, 1831 nt
Organism: Leucoraja erinaceus (little skate)
Lineage: Eukaryota; Metazoa; Chordata; Chondrichthyes; Rajiformes; Rajidae
Gene name: migration and invasion enhancer 1-like
Exons: 4
Source: RefSeq, a predicted model, not a curated record
CAUAUCUGAGGAGAUUAACUUGUCAUCACGUUCAAUGCAGACAUUGUGAGCCAUAACUUGUACCUGUGUAUUGUUCCGUGUUCUGUGCCAGGAUUAGCCACAGACAAUCCUGCACUCCAUACCUAACACUCUGCCUUUCCUGGGAGUUACUCGUCUACCUGGUGUGACGACCUCAUUGAAAUUCCUACCUAUGACGCUCUCAGCAUCACGGUCCAGGAUGAGUCCAACUGCACUUCCAGCCACUCAAUGCCACCAGUUACGAGCUGGAACUGGACACGUUGCCCACAGGUGUAGUCAGCGGGAACACUGGAAGUUUCCCUGGUCUACCACUUCCAGCAGGAAGGGCACUGUCCUAGCUGCCGUCCUGGCUACAAUAAAGCAAAAGAGGAAAGUUAGAAAGAUUGUAUCUUACUUCUCCACAUCUCCGCUGAAGCCUUUGGUGAUAAAGCCUCAGAACUUUCCAUUCAUCAGCAUCUUAUGUGCUCAGUGUGUGUUCCGUCUGUGCGAAGUUUCGCAUCGGAGGUAGACACAACAUUCUGGAGUAACUCAGCGGGACAGGCAGCAUCUCUGGAGAGAAGGGUCUCGACCCGAAACGUGCCCCAUUCCUUCUCUCCAGAGGUGCUGCCCGUCCCGCUGAGUUACGGCAGAAUGUUGUGUCUACCUCUGAUUUAAACCAGCAUCUGCAGUUAUUCCCGACACAUUGUUUUACAUCGGCAUCGACCGCUGCUCAGUGGACGCAGGUCAUAGAUGCUGGAAUUUGAAGCAACAAACGAGCCGACCUUCACUUUGUUCAUUUGCCGACCGCAGGUGGGUCAGCUGGCGAGCUCUUCCCUGCCUCCCUUCUCCUGCCCGACCAUUUCUAACAAAAAUCCUAUAAGAUCUUUGAUUUCCAGCAUUUAGUUUUAUUUGGAAUUCAAAGUGCUGGCCUGGCUUCGAUGUCCGGUGUGUUGCAAACCACCCGCUGGGCCUGGGACGGUCUCGGGUGGGGCAACGUCAGUGGUGCCUGCCUGGCUGUGCGCGGCUCUGGGCGGCGAGUGGUCACAAGAGACCCCGGGACGUCAACGGGGCCCCGGGCUCAGGUGGCGGUCGUCGCCUGGAAGAUGAGGCCUUGUGGAUGUGGCUGCGGCGUCCCGCCUUAUGAUGAUAUCCCCACGGAAAGCCAACAAAGCCUGGCGGAAAGCAGCCUGGCUGGGGGCAUGUACGAAGGCGAACACAAAGUGGAUGUCAAGGUGGAGUACUGUGCCGGAUGAGGCUUCCUGGCGCGUUUCCUGUUCCUUGCCACUGAGAUUAAGGAGCAAAUUCCAGAGGCGCACAUCACCGGCUUCAUAGGACAGAAAGAUCCUCUCAAACUCUGUCAGGUUGGAUGGGGAGCGUCGAUGCACAGCUAUUUUCAGGUCCCUCCAGAGAUAUUCGAUGGGAUUCCAGUCCGGGCUCUGGCUGGGCCACUCAAGGACAUUGAAGGGCAGUGAAGAAAGCGAAUGACAUGUUGGCCUUCAUAACAAGAGGAAUCAUUGCGGCAGUGAAGGCAGCGAGGGAUGGAUUGAUGCAGAACGUUAUAAGUGGGGAGAACAUUACGAUCAAGAAGAAAACUUGCACUGUAUUAUAGCAGAGACUGAGGAACCUGACAUCAGUUUACGGUUCAGAUUGAUGAAGCUCCAUUCUGUCAAUGAUUGUUUUCCCCUAAAGCUGGUGGUGAAGACAUGAACAGAAAUCAGAAACGGUGCUUCCCCUGUUUGGGAUCUGCUGCAAACAUUGUCAUUGGUCAGUCUGUUGUACACAGAUAACCUGCUGUCAUAUUGUCACUUUCAUUAAAACUGAAUUUGUUAAACUU